UAAAACGUGAAGGAUAACGUUGCGUCAGCAACGGCCCGUAGGGCGAGGCGAAGCCGAGUCAUCCUGCACGACCCAUCA
RNAcentral lists this small RNA (78 nucleotides) under Salmonella enterica subsp. enterica serovar Anatum. RNAcentral's name for it is "partial RtT sRNA". It matches the Rfam family "RtT RNA", at positions 49 to 130 of the family's 130-position model. Rfam says of the family: This family represents a bacterial cis-regulatory element known as RtT RNA. Lineage: Bacteria; Pseudomonadati; Pseudomonadota; Gammaproteobacteria; Enterobacterales; Enterobacteriaceae. The record is from RNAcentral.